GUUCGAUUCCGGAGAGGGAGCCUGAGAAACGGCUACCANANCCAAGGAAGGCAGCAGGCGCGCAAAUUACUCAAUCCCAAUACGGGGAGGUAGUGACAAUAAAUAACAAUAUGGGGCUCUUACGGGUCUCGUAAUUGGAAUGAGUACAAUUUAAAUCUCUUAACGAGGAACAAUUGGAGGGCAAGUCUGGUGCCAGCAGCCGCGGUAAUUCCAGCUCCAAUAGCGUAUAUUAAAGUUGUUGCAGUUAAAAAGCUCGUAGUUGAAUUUCGGAGUUUGUCGGUUGGUCGGGCUUCACUGUCCGCACUGGCCUGAUGGAUUCCUACCUUCUGAAUAACCAGCAUGCUAUUAAGUUAGUGCGUUGGGGAAGCAGAGCUAUUACCUUGAAAAAAUUAGAGUGCUUAAAGCAGGCCUUUGCUUGAAUAGAUUAGCAUGGAAUAAUAAAAUAGGACGGCAUGGUUCUAUUUUGUUGGUUUCUAGGAUCACCGUAAUGAUUAAUAGGGAUAGUUGGGGGCAUUAGUAUUCAAUUGUCAGAGGUGAAAUUCUUGGAUUUAUUGAAGACUAACUUCUGCGAAAGCAUUUGCCAAGGAUGUUUUCAUUAAUCAAGAACGAAAGUUAGGGGAUCGAAGACGAUCAGAUACCGUCGUAGUCUUAACCAUAAACUAUGCCGACUAGGGAUCGGACGAUGUUAAUUUU
Molecule: ribosomal RNA, 693 nt
Filed under: uncultured Glomeromycotina
Lineage: Eukaryota; Fungi; Glomeromycota
Description: SSU rRNA
Rfam family: Eukaryotic small subunit ribosomal RNA
Source: RNAcentral